RNAcentral lists this unclassified non-coding RNA (199 nucleotides) under uncultured Dermateaceae. RNAcentral describes it as "sequence contains ITS1". The record is from RNAcentral. Lineage: Eukaryota; Fungi; Ascomycota; Leotiomycetes; Helotiales; Dermateaceae.
CAGAGUUCGUGCCCUCACGGGUAGAUCUCCCACCCUGUGUUAUUAUACCUUUGUUGCUUUGGCGGGCCGCCCUCGGCUACCGGCCCCGGCUGGUACGCGCCCGCCGGAGGACCAACCAAAACUCUUUUGUAUACCCCCUCGCGGGUUUUUAUAUCUGAGCCAUCUCGGCGCCUCUCGUAGGCGUUUCGAAAAUGAAUCA